RNAcentral lists this ribosomal RNA (497 nucleotides) under uncultured bacterium. RNAcentral's name for it is "partial 16S ribosomal RNA". It matches the Rfam family "Bacterial small subunit ribosomal RNA", at positions 28 to 507 of the family's 1533-position model. The record is from RNAcentral.
GAUGAACGCUGGCGGCGUGCCUAAUACAUGCAAGUCGAGCGAACAGAUGAGGAGCUUGCUCCUCUGACGUUAGCGGCGGACGGGUGAGUAACACGUGGAUAACCUACCUAUAAGACUGGGAUAACUUCGGGAAACCGGAGCUAAUACCGGAUAAUAUAUUGAACCGCAUGGCUCAAUAGUGAAAGACGGUUUUGCUGUCACUUAUAGAUGGAUCCGCGCCGCAUUAGCUAGUUGGUAAGGUAACGGCUUACCAAGGCAACGAUGCGUAGCCGACCUGAGAGGGUGAUCGGCCACACUGGAACGGAGACACGGUCCAGACUCCUACGGGAGGCAGCAGUAGGGAAUCUUCCGCAAUGGGCGAAAGCCUGACGGAGCAACGCCGCGUGAGUGAUGAAGGUCUUCGGAUCGUAAAACUCUGUUAUUAGGGAAGAACAAAUGUGUAAGUAACUAUGCACGUCUUGACGGUACCUAAUCAGAAAGCCACGGCUAACUACGUG